GGAGCUUCUCUUUGUCUUCGUCAACUUUCAAAUUGAUAGUCAUUUUCUUUGGUUGGAUGAAUUAAUUGAUAUAGUCAUCUUUCAAUAACUUAGAUUGUGAUUGAAAUUCAAUAUGCAAAAAUGAUAGAAACAGAAAGUGCAAAUGAGUGGUUGGAAGGUACUUGUACUUGUGGAAGGAUAAGGGUGAUGGCAAAUAUGAUUUUUUACUGAAGAAGCUUGAUAAUUAAUAUAUUAUUACAAACUUUAUCUAUAUGUGUCAUAAGCUUGAUUUGAUGUGAUGAACGAUAUAAUUUCAUGUUGCAUGUAGUAUGGGA
Molecule: long non-coding RNA, 314 nt
Filed under: Manihot esculenta (cassava)
Lineage: Eukaryota; Viridiplantae; Streptophyta; Magnoliopsida; Malpighiales; Euphorbiaceae
Description: long non-coding RNA (MESC_LNC006741)
Source: RNAcentral